Molecule: small nucleolar RNA, 148 nt
Organism: Candoia aspera
Lineage: Eukaryota; Metazoa; Chordata; Lepidosauria; Squamata; Candoiidae
Source: RefSeq, a predicted model, not a curated record
CUUCAGUGACGAUAUGAUGACGAGUCAGAAAGGGGCACCCUCUUGAUCAGAGCAGACAGCCCUGCGCCACGUUCUGGGGUGCUUUGCUGGUUAACUCUGACGAUGGUGCUCUGUCCACUGGAUGACCAGAGGCAUUUGUCUGAGAAGG